This is a non-coding RNA of Myodes glareolus (Bank vole), 8376 nucleotides long. Lineage: Eukaryota; Metazoa; Chordata; Mammalia; Rodentia; Cricetidae. The record is from RefSeq and is a predicted model, not a curated record.
ACCACGCCUGGCUUACCGUUUUCAAAAUUUGAGAAAGGGUUUCACUAAGGUACCCUCUUGAGGAAGAGACCUGGUCAGUUGUCCUCAUCAACUUAGACCAUGAAACCCAAUAUGGAUAAUUUCAACAGAACCUCUAUACAUGGGCUGCCCAUGCAUGCUUCAGCAAUGCCAGGGCAUACAUUUCAUUCAUCUUAAGUUGCCCAGGCUGUCCGUGAACAUUCAAUCUUCUUGCAUCGGCUUCCAGAGCAGCUGGGGUGACAGGCCUGCACCAUCAGGCAUGGCCACAACAGGUUCUUGACUGUGAAAGGAGAAGUCAGAACAUGGCAGGGGCGCGCAGAGCCAGUUCUACUGAUAGCAUGUUCAAAGAUAUGGGCCUUGGCCACCUUGGUGGCCUGAGGCUGUAUGCCCAUCAGUGUGAGCAGGGUCCAACCCCAUGAUAGAACGCAAGCUGUGAUCUACCCAACCCUGGGCACCAAGGAAGCAUGCUGCUCACCAUGGAGCUUGACUCUAGAAAGACUCUGCAGCACCUGGCAGCCAGCCCAGAAUACCCAGCCGCCACCACAAUAACAAGAUGAUGACAUUUCAUGUGACUUUCUAUAACAUGCAAAGCUCCCACCCUGUACAUCGUAGCCACAGAGUAAGACGUGACCAGGUUAGGUUAUUUUUUUUCCAUAACCUGAGGGCCAUUCUUCAUGAUGGCCAGGCUGUGGCUUAGGUUUCCGGGACAGCACCCGACCUCUGAGUGACCAACUCUGGGUACUCAGAACACACAUAUGCUUGCUUUCUGUGGGGGUAAGCGUUGGAGCUCAGUAGAGCAGUCCAGUCCCCUUGAGGUCUUGCUAGCAAGGAUCCUCAGGCAGCCUGGAAGGUGAACUAUUCAGUAGUCCCAGCAAGCUGAGCUCAGUUCCCUCCAGGCUCAUGUCACAGUCCUGUAAGACAUGUGGAUGAAGGACAAAAUCAUGGGGUAGCUGAUGUCCAGAACUGCCAAUGCCUGGCUACGCUCUCCCAUCAUCGCUUGCCUAGGACACUCAAGGCCUGGGAGAUAUGCCCCAUAUAUCUUUUCUAGAAUUUUCUACUGGGUCUUCACUCCAUCUGCCAUCCAUUUCUUCCUGGACAAAUGUGCUGCCCUACCCUUGCGUCUUAGUGGAUGCUGUUUCCUCUGCUUAGAAGGAUUUUUCUCCCUCCCUGCCAGGUUCUCGCUAAUCUUCUAAGACUGGCCUUUUAAGUCUUAGGAAACUCACGUGUGCAGGAUGCCUGUGUCCCUUAGUCCUACUGGGUACUCUGAUGGCAGGGAUCAGCAUCAGGACUGCCAUUCCAUGCUUUUGGCUGAGUGCUCCAUCACAUUCUGGGCUUUAGAAGGCAGCACUGGGGCCUCUUCCAUUGUGCAUCUCCAGCCUCCAGGAUGGUGCUCCAGUGAGCAGGGGCCAGGCAUCGGCACCCAACACUAGUGAGUGAACUAGCUUAGUCAAAGCAAAGCAGCAUUCUAGAGUAUGGAACACUGGCCAGUCUCACUUCGCAGGCUAGGUCGGGACAAGCUGAGGAAUGGGAGGAUGAGGAGAUGAGACAGUGAGUGAGAGAGGAGAGAAAAAGGAAGCAGAGGAGCUGCAGUUGGGGAAGGACUGUCAGGCAGCUUAUCACUGGGCUGCAGAACGGGUCCCUAGCAGGAACAGAAUAAAAGAACACAUCUCCAUAUCUUGAUAGCAUCUCACAAGUGUGGAGCAGGCACUGGGAGCUCCCCUGAGGUCCAGGGCUCAGGCUGCUGCUUGCUUGCCCCCAGGACAAUUCAUAGGGCACAGGUUCUUCAAAGCAACGCUACUUCCAGGGGGAAGGUGAUGCUGGGCACCGAGGGGCUACAUAUCAACUGUGCAAGGGAAGCAAUGGGUCAGUCAGUUCAGGGCUUUAGGCUUAAAACAAAACAAAACAAAACAAAACAAAACAAAACAAAAAAAGGAAGUUGAAAAGUUUUCUGCAGCUUGCAGAGAGCCAAGGUUGGAGAAGCAGAACCUUAUGUCAUGCAAUCCCAGCGGUUGGCAGGGACUGGUGGCACCAUGCCAAGUCUUGGCUCAGCUGCCCAAGUUCCGGUAAAGAAGGGCCUGUCCCUUUGACUGAGGAGUAGGGCCAUAUAUUAUACAGGCCCAUGUGUCUACAUUGUAUGGCGGCUAGACUUCCAAGCCAUAGUUUGCACCCGGCCUCACAGCAGGCCUUUACAGACAAAGGGUCAGGAUAUGCCGAUGCUGUUCUGCUCCUUCUUUGUAAUCUGGAGGACGCCUGGGAUAGAGGUGUUAAUUCGGCCUACGUGACAGAGCUGGCAUACAGAGCAGGAAGGUAGGGAGAUGUAACAAAAUGGGCAUAGAUGGGUGUAGAUGUGACCUCAGAUAUUCGCCUAGUUACCUAGGAAACAGAAUGCUAAUGAAUUUCCCCCUUAGUUUAUGUUUUGGUAUAAAAGCUGUUUGGAGAAUAAAUGCGGGUGGAUUUUCAGGAUGUGAAUUUAGGACUUCAUGAAGGAUCACUGGAAACUCCCUCCCAAUAUAGUCAUGUAAGUUGUGUCUUUAAUCCCACACCUCCUCUCUGGUCCAGAGAAAUAAUUUAUGGUUUGGAGAAAUAAUUUAUGGUCUGGGCUGGCACUGGACCCUGACACUGAGGCAGCCAUUUUGCUGGUACCAAGGCUUUCUGAACCUGGGGUUCAAUCCCUGCAGUGAUGUGCGAGGUGCAAGGUGCUGGAUUGUGGUACCUGAGGGCAAAGUAAUGAUUCACAUACCAUGGAAAUGGUUGGAAAGCUCUGGGAACUUAGGGAAUACAUGUCUUUGUAGCAUCCAAAGAUGGGCUGUUGGACUUUUGCUCAAGCUCCAGUGUUUCUCUUGGUGUGUGUGGGCACCUGCAGGUACAUGUGUGUGCACGUGGAAGCUGGAGGACAACCUUGGAGUGAGACCACCCUGCAGUUGGAGGGCCUGGAACCAAUGAGCUAGUCUGGCUAGCCAGGACCCUACCUGCUUUCAUCUCCUCAGUGGUGAGAUUACAAGUCAAGCCGCCACGCCCAUUUUUUUAAAUGUGGAUUUUAGAGCUCAACUCAGGUCCUCAUGCUUACACGGCAAGUGCUUUAGUGACUGAGCUUAUCGAUGGAGUUGUCUCCCCAGUCCCCCGAUCGCAAACUUUUAACAAAUCUUUAUUAACUAGGAAAUAGUCUCACUCUAUGCUAUAAAGGAAAAAAACAAGGCACACACACACUUGGAAGAGCCACACAGUAUGUGACUUUCCUGUCUUUAAACCACUAGUAGCUACAUGCCUCAGGCAUGUUGGAGAGCCAUCCACACAGAAUCAUCUUCCCUCUUGCAUUUAGAAUUAGUUGCAAGCAGCUCAGUCUCACAUUAGUUUUGUGGCCCCUACUGCACCCAGGAUGACAGUCUACAGAGCCCGCACUGUUGAAUGGUGGUGUUUCCAAGUCUAAACUUGGCUUUUCUUGUGUCAGCUCAUAAACAAACACUCAAGAGCCAUCCCAUGGUGCUGAGCCUGCAGGAGAUUAGCUCUGCUUUGGUGACAUCAUUCCUGUCCAAAUAGCUUAGUUUAUUUGGACAUUAAAACCAAACCAAACCAAGUACAAUAAAAUACACUCAGUGACAUGGAGAAAGGAAACAUGUUUCAAAAACUAAGAAUGAUUGUGAGACCAUUGGGUCCACUGAAAACCCAGUGAGUCUACCGUUGACUAGACAUUUCUUGACUCCGGGUGUGAGCAAAACAACUAAAAGUCACACAUAUGUUCACACAAAACACCGGCGAGAGGCAAGAAGAGGAACUGUAUUUUUGCUGCAGGGGAGGGAUCAUGUAUGAUUUUCAGCCUUGUCUUUUUCUGGUCUUGUCAGUUAAAAAGAAACCCACAACAUGCUGGGAUUUCAUAACAAGAAAAAGAUGUCUUAAAAAAGAAGUGCUCGGAGGGUACGAUGCAGAGGGAGGGCUCGCUGCUCUCCCCGGCUCAACAUCAAACCCAGCCCCUUCCCUUGGCUAAAGGGCACCAUGCUAUUUUCCACUGGGGCCAGAGCAGGGGGAGGAGGGAGCUGAAGAGCAGGGGGCAGAGCACAGGCUGAGAGGAUGUGAUGGCAAUGGCUACAGCUGAAGACACAGAGAAAGCCCCUGGUGCGAAUCCAGCUCCUAUCACAUCCUCUUACAGGAAGCCUUACGGUCCACAUCCCUCUGUCAUCUCAACAGGAAUAUCAUCCCCAUAAUUCACCUAUUCAAAACUUCCCUGACGGCUUUAAUAUAUCCAUAGUUACAUAACUGUCAUAAUAACUGCUACGGUGUUUUAGUCAUGCCCACUGUCAGUCACUCCCCAUCCAGUGGAUUAAAAGUGAAAUAUUCCCUGGAGGGGCAGGUGUUUCAGCAUUGGAUCCCAGCAGUGAUCCUGGGUGGAGGAAGUGGGCCACUGGCAGGUGGGCCUGUAGUUUUAUAACUUGGUCCCAUUUCUAGCCUCCUCUUGCUUCCUGGUGGAGAUGUGAGAUGUCCCAGACACACAUCCCAUUGACAUAAACUCUUGCCAUGGAUUGAAUCCUGCUGUGGAACAUUCUCUGUACACUGUAGAUAUGUAUUAUUCUCACUGGUUAAUAAAGAUCUGACUGGCCUAGAGCUGGGCAGAAGAGCCAAUCCUAGGAGGAUAGUGGGAGGAAGAAGGGUGGAAUCUUGGGAGUUGCCAGCCAGAGACAGAGGAAGCAGGACACGUACAAAAUGAGAUAACAAGUCAUGAGCCACAUGGUAGCAAGUAAAAUAAUAGAAAUGGGUUAAUUUAGAAUGUAAGAGCUAGUUAGUAACAGAUCUAAGCUAUCAGUUGAGCAUUUAUGAUUAAUAAUACGUCUCUGUGUAGUUAUUUGGGAACUGGCUGGCAGGAAAAGUCCACGUACAGUAUCCUCUCAAAUUAUGAGCCCAAACAUGCUUCUCUUUCUCUAAGUUGCUUCUGCUGGGUCUGGCAAUGUGACAGCCAGCUCUAACCUGAUGGUGCUAUGUCCCUGGCUGCUCUAUCCCAGGUAAUUAGUGACACUUCCCCCAGAGUGCUCAGACCUGCGUAAUAAUUUACACAUAAUUCCUCUGAGAUGGCGAAAGAUCCCUACGGGCUGCUGACCUUUGCCCUGGAAGGCAUGUGAGAUCCUAGUGGCCAGCAGGUGAGCUAAGAAUAGGAUAAUGGUGUUUCUACUGUGAGGUAUUUAACCACUCACUUUCUGCUUUUGUAAACUCACUUAUCUCCAUGGGACUGGCAUAAAGUGGUCUUUUUAUUACUAUACAAGGGGAAAGAGAAACAACUGAGAAGAGUAAAGCAAUUUUCUUGUCCAGCCGUGGAGCCCAUAGGUCACUGUACACCUUUGAUAACAUCUUCGCUGUGCACCUCUUUAAUCCCUUCCUUUAGCCCCCUUGGGCAUGGCAUGAUGUUUGGCUCUACGUCCUUCUGCUAGCAGUAAGAAUAAAUUCAUUUAAUCUAAAUUUGAAUUGAGUCUAAGUCUUUGGUCUUUCCCAGCGGAUUUGACUGCCACAACAACAUAACCUGGUCACCACUAGCCUGCCUUCCACAUCUGUGGAUUUGCCUCGGCUGAGCACAUUUACAAGGGAGUUUCACAUGUGACAGCCUCCUGUUGCAAUGUCAGAAGGUUGGACAUGCUCGGCAGAGGAGUGACGCAAUGGCUCAGCACAAUGCCUUAGGUGCCUGGGCCCUUGGCAGAUGCUCUCUGCAAUUAUCAUCGGAGCACACAAAGCCUGGCAUGGCUGCAGCUUGCACGUGCCAGGGCCAGGCGUCUGACGGUUUCAGGUCUCCAUCUGUUCCGGAGAUGGACUGGAAAGCCAACCUUUCCCUGGCUCUGGGGAAACGCCAAUCUGCUGAGUCUGACUCUGUCUUCAGCACCUGGGAUACCUCAUCAGAUCAGAGCCUUCCAGGUGGUUCCUUAGGUGUAGCACACUUGGCUUUUAAUGCCCCAUUCCCCAAGAAGUCAUUGCUGGCAGGCCAGUCUGCACCACCCUCCGUUCCCUGCAUGAUGACUUCCAUUUCUAGCUUACUUCAUGCCCGAGGCCACUCUGUUCCAGUCAGGAAUUUGGUUCUCCUAAAUUGAGUGGCUUGUUUCCAUCCAGCAAGUGCUCCCAGGCUGUUCCAGCAGGAGAAACCUACAGGGAGUCUUGGAUAUCAGCCCCAGGGAUUCGUACCUGAGUCACAGAACAGGACCGAUGAGUAUAUGUGAAGUUCAGUGCUCACCCCAGUUACUCGGUGGACCAGUACAGCAGAUUCCAUUAAGGGGCAGUGUGGAAAGGGUUUGAGCUCUUCUUUCACACUGCUGUCCCCAGACUCCUUGGGGAGAAGGCUAGAGCCUGGCCUUGGAGCUGAGGUGGGGGAUGUCUUCUCUGGUCUGCUUCCUCUGUGACUUGACUCUUCAGUCUGGGCUAAUUUUCCUCUGUUCAGUCAACACUGGAACUAUCAUGCUGGUGUUUCUGGUUCUGGGAGUCAGUUGCAGACAGUGUCCUGUGAGCAGCUGAGUCUUAAUAAAGAUGUUUUGUCUACAGACAUGCCCUGGCUCUGGGCGCUGAAGUCCUGGGCCUCUGCCCCACUACUGGCCACAGAGGCUGUUGAAACAUCUGCCUUAAACACGCUACCUCUAUACCACAUGGAAGUAGAAGAAUUUCUGUCCCCAACAUAUGUAGGUUUAGUGUUCCAGCAGCUACCAGCCUGGAGAUCUUGGCUUCUUCAGAGCCAGCAUUGAUGAGGCCCAGCCCUACGUCAGCACCGAUUAAACCAAACCUAUGCCUGCAGAGAUCUCAGUAUGGCUAGACACCCAGGAAGAGUCCAGGAAGUCUGGGCCACUAAUACAUUCUUUUAUGCAAAAGAAUGGAAGUUGGAGAUGCUCAUAACUCCACCUUAGGGUUAGUUGGUUGGGCAGGGAGAAGGUCAAGGACAUGAGGUGUACACUCUAGAUCCCCAUCACAUCUGACUUGGCUAGUUUUAUUAUCAACUUGACACAAGCUAGACUCAUCAGAGAGAAGAGAGAGCCUCGAUUAAGAAAAUGCCUCCAUAAGAUCAGGCUGUAGGCAAGCAAGUCUGGAGCAUGUUCUUAAUUAAUGAUUGAUACGGGCUGUGACAGGAGAAGCAGGGCUGAUGUUGGCCAGCCUGCAGAACUGCCUUGGUGUUGGCCUUGCCUUUCUCAGGGCCACCUCUGAUGUGAUCAGCCUGGUUAUGGUCCCUGGCAAUGCAGGGGCCCUGAGGAUCUUCCUAUUCAGUGGCUCAGCAUGAGUUGUGGAGCAUGAGUUGUGGGCUCCCAAACUAAAGUUCAGCUUCUAGCCUGGUGUCACCCAAGGACAUUUCUGCAGAGACCAUUGGUAUGAUGGCUGGUUUUAAUGUCAACUUGCCACAAAUCAGAGUCACCUGAGGAGGAAGCCUCACCAAGGGAUGCCUUAAUUGGUGUGGGACGAUCCAUCCCAAAUGUGGGUGGCACCUUCUGGUAGCACCCAGAUAAAGCAGGGCAUGGCAGACGGAGGAUUAUUCAUCUUUGCUUGCCUGGCCUUCCCCCUGGCUGCCGAGUUGUUUUCCCCUGUUGCAAUUGCUGGUUCCUGGGCAGUUAUCAGAAGCAGGGUCUCUAGGCUGCCAGUGUUGAGGGGACCAGUGACGCUCCAGGAACCCUCUAGGUCCUCGGUGACAGCCGAGACUGCUGCCGCAUGCAGCCUUGUGUGUUGAGCAACUAUUGGGUUCUUGACUUCUUCAGUGUGAAGCAGCCACUGUAGACCACACAGACUGCCAAGGCAUUGGGCCUCCAAAACCAAGCAACUAUCAGCCUCUCGUGUGUGAGACUGUUGUUACUGUUUCAAUGGAAGCUAUAGAAUAUUCACUCUGUUAGUUCUUGUAGUGGUUAGAAUAGGAAUGGCCCCCUCCAUAGGUUCAGAGAUUUGAACACUUGGUCAUUAGGGAGUGGCACUACUUGACAGGAAUUAAGGAGGUGUGGCCUUGCUGGAGUAGGUGUGGUCUUAUUGGAGGAAGUGUGCCACCAGGGGUGGCCUUUGAGGUUUCAGAAGCUCAAGUCAUGCCUGCAUGAGGCCACACUCCCUGCCAUGAUAAUAAUGAACUAAACCUCUGAAUUGUAAGCUGGCCCCAAUUAAAAGUUAAAUGUUUUCCUCUAUAAGAGUUGCCAUGGUCAUGAUGACUCCACAGACAUAGGACACUGACUAAGACAGUUCUGUUCAUCUAGAGAACUCUGAUUAAUGCAAGAGGGGAAAUCCUAGUACCCCCUCACCUCAGUACCCACCCACUCUGGUUCUACAGGGAACACUCACCCAGGCCCAGGUUGGAGAUGGUCUCAAGGUCCAGGAAGCUGCUGGCUUCAAGGAUGGCCUGGGGCAGCCGCAACGUGAAAGGUAGUAAGUCUC